CCUACGGGUGGCUGCAGUGAGGAAUAUUGGUCAAUGGGCGCAAGUCUGAACCAGCCAAGCCGCGUGCAGGAUGACGGCUCUAUGGGUUGUAAACUGCUUUUGUACGAGGGUAAACUCCGAUACGUGUACCUGUUUGAAAGUAUCGUACGAAUAAGGAUCGGCUAACUCCGUGCCAGCAGCCGCGGUAAUACGGAGGAUCCGAGCGUCAUCCGGAUUUAUUGGGUUUAAAGGGUGCGUAGAUGGGUUGAUAAGUCAGAUGUGAAAUGUCGGGGCUCAACCCCGAAACUGCCAUUAAUACUGUUGGACUAGAGUAUAGUUGAGGUAGGCGGAAUGUAUGGUGUAGCGGUGAAAUGCUUAGAGAUCAUACAGAACACCGAUUGCGAAGGCAGCUUACCAAACUAUAUCUGACGUUGAGGCACGAAAGCGUGGGUAGCAAACAGGAUUAGAUACCCGGGUAGUC
This 460-nucleotide ribosomal RNA is filed under the name uncultured bacterium. Its description in RNAcentral is "partial 16S ribosomal RNA". It matches the Rfam family "Bacterial small subunit ribosomal RNA", at positions 338 to 795 of the family's 1533-position model. The record is from RNAcentral.